This 1043-nucleotide long non-coding RNA is filed under the name Meriones unguiculatus (Mongolian gerbil). RNAcentral describes it as "lncRNA (ENSMUGG00000007151.1)". The record is from RNAcentral. Lineage: Eukaryota; Metazoa; Chordata; Mammalia; Rodentia; Muridae.
GCUUUUGGCUCAAGAUCUUCCCCCUUUCAGAUGAUUCUCAUACUCUGGCAGGUUUGGACAAAAAACCACAGCUCUAAGACCACACAGUAGCUUCCUGGUCCUUCCAGAGCCCCCGCGGUUGACCCUGGGAGUUUGGGGUCCAGGCGCCAGCGGGGCGGGCCAGGUGUGCAGAGGGCGGCGCCGCUGCAGCCCUGCCCAGGGGCGGAGCUCACCUGAGGAUCAGGUAGGCAGCUCCCGGGCAACCCGGCCGCCGGGGAAGCCUGGGCGCGCAGCAGCCGCGGCCUCGCUAGGGCUCCAGGGACGCGGGCAGGGACUGCGGCCCGCCCCACGCCCGGCCGUGGAGCAGCCAGGACGCCAGCUCACCAUGGGGAGACGCCUCAAGUUUCUGCAGAAACUGCCCUUCCUGGGCCAGGACCAUCGGUACAAGCUGCUGGAGAGAGACGAGGUGGAGACCCUGGCUUCUUGUGUCCUCAGCUGAGAACUCCAACCUGAAGGACCACCCUCUGUAUCCUUGCUUCAUGGCAUCGCGGCUUUGAAAGCAGCCCCGCCUGUAAGGAAGUCACACCCCGAGGCUAGAGUGAUGGUGGUCAUGGGACAGGGCGCAGCAUAUAGCCCCAAGUGCCUUAUGGCAAAAUCUCCUGAAGAGUCACUGUCCUUCCAGAAGCUGCAGCCACUGUGAGAAAACCACGGGGGCUGCAGAAUUCUCAAAGUUAGGCCAAGCCCCGCUCUGUGCCACUGCAAGGCCUCUUCCAGAACCUUCUGCUGACUUACUGGAGGGAAGAGAGCCCAGCGAAGCUUGAUCAAGUGUAGACAGUGAAGACAACAUGCCCGUGACCUGUGUUUCUGGAAGCUUCUGGAACCAGGGUCAGCAUUGCUCAUGAUCUCUUGAACAGCCGUGACUAUGAAGCCUGGUUAGUCUGUAUGUCACCCGCAAGACCACUCGUGUAUCUGCCACCCGGAGUUCCAGCUGCAGCACCUGGAGGGUCCACCCCUUCCUGGUGUACGGAGGAGGCUGAGGUGACUCAUCCCUGUGUCCUGCUGUG